Lynx canadensis (Canada lynx) is the source of this 103-nucleotide long non-coding RNA. RefSeq lists it as uncharacterized. NCBI's taxonomy places the organism in Eukaryota, Metazoa, Chordata, Mammalia, Carnivora, Felidae. The record is from RefSeq and is a predicted model, not a curated record. The transcript is spliced from 3 exons.
ACAAGUUUCACUUAACAAAAUACACCCAAAAGGAAAUCACAGUACAAAGAAAGUUUCAAGUCAAGGCCUCACCAAUUCCUAUGAUCUGAAGAGCACACGUGUG